This 495-nucleotide ribosomal RNA is filed under the name uncultured bacterium. RNAcentral describes it as "partial 16S ribosomal RNA". It matches the Rfam family "Bacterial small subunit ribosomal RNA", at positions 30 to 507 of the family's 1533-position model. The record is from RNAcentral.
UGAACGCUGGCGGCGUGCCUCAUACAUGCAAGUCGAGCGAACAGACGAGGAGCUUGCUCCUCUGACGUUAGCGGCGGACGGGUGAGUAACACGUGGAUAACCUACCUAUAAGACUGGGAUAACUUCGGGAAACCGGAGCUAAUACCGGAUAACAUGUUGAACCGCAUGGUUCAACAGUGAAAGACGGUCUUGCUGUCACUUAUAGAUGGAUCCGCGCCGCAUUAGCUAGUUGGUAAGGUAACGGCUUACCAAGGCAACGAUGCGUAGCCGACCUGAGAGGGUGAUCGGCCACACUGGAACUGAGACACGGUCCAGACUCCUACGGGAGGCAGCAGUAGGGAAUCUUCCGCAAUGGGCGAAAGCCUGACGGAGCAACGCCGCGUGAGUGAUGAAGGUCUUCGGAUCGUAAAACUCUGUUAUUAGGGAAGAACAAAUGUGUAAGUAACUAUGCACGUCUUGACGGUACCUAAUCAGAAAGCCACGGCUAACUACGUG